RNAcentral lists this ribosomal RNA (253 nucleotides) under uncultured Lachnospiraceae bacterium. RNAcentral describes it as "partial 16S ribosomal RNA". It matches the Rfam family "Bacterial small subunit ribosomal RNA", at positions 524 to 776 of the family's 1533-position model. The record is from RNAcentral. Lineage: Bacteria; Bacillati; Bacillota; Clostridia; Lachnospirales; Lachnospiraceae.
UACGUAGGGGGCGAGCGUUAUCCGGAUUUACUGGGUGUAAAGGGAGCGUAGACGGUUAAUCAAGUCUGAAGUGAAAGCCCGCGGCUCAACUGCGGAACGGCUUUGGAAACUGAGUAACUGGAGUACAGGAGGGGCAGGCGGAAUUCCUGGUGUAGCGGUGAAAUGCGUAGAUAUCAGGAGGAACACCGGCGGCGAAGGCGGCCUGCUGGACUGAAACUGACGUUGAGGCUCGAAAGCGUGGGGAGCAAACAGG